RNAcentral lists this ribosomal RNA (481 nucleotides) under uncultured bacterium. RNAcentral's name for it is "partial 16S ribosomal RNA". It matches the Rfam family "Bacterial small subunit ribosomal RNA", at positions 28 to 523 of the family's 1533-position model. The record is from RNAcentral.
GACGAACGCUGGCGGCGUGCUUAACACAUGCAUGUCGAACGCUGAAGCCCUUCGGGGUGGAUGAGUGGCGAACGGGUGAGUAACACGUGGGUAAUCUGCCCUGCACUCUGGGAUAAGCCUUGGAAACGGGGUCUAAUACCGGAUAGGACACAUCGCCGCAUGGUGUGUGUGGGGAAAGUUCCGGCGGUGCAGGUUGAGCCCGCGGCCUAUCAGCUUGUUGGGGGGGUGAUGGCCUACCAAGGCGACGACGGGUAGCCGGCCGGAGAGGGUGACCGGCCACACUGGGACUGAGACACGGCCCGGACUCCUACGGGAGGCAGCAGUGGGGAAUCUUGCGCAAUGGGCGAAAGCCUGACGCAGCAACGCCGCGUGGGGGAUGACGGCCUUCGGGUUGUAAACCUCUUUCGACCGGGACGAAGGAUUCGUUUGACGGUACCGGUAGAAGAAGCACCGGCUAACUACGUGCCAGCAGCCGCCGUAA